Long non-coding RNA from Capsicum annuum, 5271 nucleotides. RefSeq lists it as uncharacterized. NCBI's taxonomy places the organism in Eukaryota, Viridiplantae, Streptophyta, Magnoliopsida, Solanales, Solanaceae. The record is from RefSeq and is a predicted model, not a curated record. The transcript has 2 exons.
CUUCAAAGUCGACUGGCAUUCAUCUACGACCUGUAAACUACAAAAAAAAAUAUAAGAAUGAUCACAAAGCUUCGAUUUUGAUCCAACUAAUUCUUAUCUGAGCAAACAUUUUGACCCUAGAGAAUGAUUUUGAAUGAAAAUAAGAAGAUAUCUAUACACACAUGUUUUUUUAAAGAAUUUUAGGGGCUGAGAAGCACCCCCAAGACAUUCAUUUAACCACAAAGAACUGUACAAGAGAGGGGCAUAAACCUGACCUCAAAUUGUGUAACAACAUAUAAGGAAUGAAACAAACAGUAUACAAAUACCAGUAUGCUAAACCUACUAUAAAAUGCUUAUGUCUUCUUCCCAGCUACCGCCUUGUACUAUGGUGGAUUAUGUAUCUUGUUCACCUUCCUUCUCCUGAAGCUUGGCAUGUCCAUUCUAUCUAGCUGAUAAUAACCUGCUAUAGCUGAUGGUAGUUGACAACUAUGGAAAUAAUGUUGUGGCUGGUCAAACUGAUGGCUCACUUUUGACAAUACAUUUGCUACAAAGUUAGCUUCUCUGUAUACAUGUCUAUAAAUACAAAGCUAAAAUUAUGCAAUGAUCUUUAGUAAGGACUCCACAAGAGGUUGCAGGUGUCAAGGUAUAGUCAUUUGGGUCCUUAUCCAUCUGACCAAUAGUUCAGAAUCCAAUUCCAACAUUACCUGCUGAACACCAUUGCUCAAACACCAAGAUAAUCCCCAUAUAGCAGCUUCCACCUCUGCUUGGUUAUUAGUCUCUUUUCCCAAAGAAGCAACAUAUGCAUAGAUGAGAUCACCAUUAUGAUCUCUAAUAACCUCCCCUGCACCAAUCCUUCUAGGGUUAGAUAGAUCACUACCAUCAGAGUUCAAUUUGAUCAUUGAAGCUGGUGGCUUAGUCCAAUAUACAGUGGUAAAUUUUGUCCCUUGUCUACACUUCUCCACAUAAGCUGACAGGUUGGACCAUCGAAAAGGCCAGUGAAUGUAAGGAAAUACAUUAUAUAGCAGGAGAGAGAUAUCUUUGUAUAUGAGAAAUUUGACUCUAGCUAACUAGGGUUGUUUAUCACCAUAUUUCACAGCACAUCUAUUUUUCCAUAGAUUCCAGCAAAUGAUAAUUGGGAGAGCCUGAAGCACCAGCUUAUAAGCCCUAUUGGAUGCUUUCAUGUUCCACCAUUUCCUCAGCAGGUUCUUGAUUGAUGUAAAGACAUGUGUAAUUCCCAUAGUUGAAGAGAAGUAUAUCCAUAUAUGAUUAAGAAAGGGACCCUUAACAAAUAUGUGAGAAAUAUUAUCCCUGCCAGAGUUAAGAUAGCAACCACAUCUGAUAGAGGUUAUACUAAAUUGGCAAAACCUCUCAUUGGUAGGGAAUUUUAUUCUUAGAGCUCUCCAUAUAAGAAAGGAGCAUUUGAAUGGGAUCAUGUUGUGCCAGAUAUGACUAUUCAGUAUUGUUAUCUCCCUGUGCUCUCUGGUCAGUUGAACAGUUGAACUCACCACUUGGGCUUAGAGUCCAAAUUGGGAAGUCAGGAAUCCCUUCCUGAUACUGGAUUGGAGUUCUGAGAAUAAAUUAUACUACUUGACUGGUAAGAAUAGUAGACAACUUCUGAAGAUUCCAUACAUCAUCAACUAAGAAAGUUGACACUUUAGAAUUACUUGAAUUUACACCAGCGGGUCUAUAGUUAUUUAGUGCUCCAAAACCAGACCAGUUGUCCCACCAAAAGUGAAAAGUACCUGACCUGAUUCUCUAUAAAAUAUGCUGUUCAGCAUCUCUCUUAUUCUUCAUCAUAGUUCUCCACAUCAGAGAUUGUCUAGUGGACCUUUUCCUGGCAACAACAUGCAUUCUCUUGCAAUAUUUGGUUAAUAAUAAUUUCCCCCAAAGAGUGUUUUUGCUUUUGAAUAUCCAUCAUUGUUUUGAUUUGUAGAGUCUUACAUGUAUCAGUAAUAUGUAUAACACCAAUACCACCUUCAGUAGCCAGGAAGCAUAGCUUCUUCCAUGAAGCCCAGUGAUACUUCUUCUUAUUAUCCUUUUAACCCAGAAGAAAUCAGCAAACAGAUAGAUGAGUUGUUUUAUAAUAGACUUUGGAGGUAUGCAGGCAGAAAGAAUGUGAAUUGGCACAGACUGCAGGACGUGUUUAAUCAGCACACUUCUACCACCAUAACUAAGUAGUUUUGAAUGUUAUCCUACUAUUCUUGAAGCCACACUACUAACCAAACCAGCAUAGUGACUAAUUUUCUAUCUUUCAAUAUAAAUGGGACAACCAAGGUAUGUAAUGGGGUUGUGAUUUUGCUGAAAUCCAGUUUCAUCUAACCCUUGAUACAGUGAAAGGAAAGGCGUGAUCUCGCAGCAUGAAAUGACUCUUGUUCUUAUUGAUCAUUUGGCCAAAAACUAUUUCAUAAAAAGCCAAUGUCUUCAUAAUCAGUUUGAGAGGGUUUCUUCUACCAGUACUGAAGAUGAUGAUAUCAUCUACAAAAGUGAGAUGGUUAAUCUGGGUUCCUCUCCAAUCCAUGUGAAAACUAUGAUAUUGAGGCUGGUGAUUAAGUUGUUGAGGGCUCUUGAUAAAACUUCUACCCCUAGAAUGAAUAGAGCAGGGGAAAAGGGAUCCCCCUACUUCAAACCCCUUAUAGAGUAGGAAAAACCAUAUCUAGUACCAUUCACCAAGAUUGAGUACUAAUUGUUGGACAAGGUUCUCCAUAUCAUGUCAAUAAUGGGUUCACCAAAUCCAAACCUCUUUAACACCAGACAUGUAUAUGACCAAGACACCCUCUCAUAUGCCUUGGCCAUGUCUAAUUUAAUGACAGCAUUUCCUCCUACAACUAGUUUCUUGAUGUUACUAAUGAUAUCCUGAGCAAGCAUGAUAUUUUGUGCAAUGUUUCUUCCUCUCACAAAGCCAUAUUGGUUCGUAGAAAUAAUGUUGGGAAGGAUAGGGGCUAUUUUGAGGUAAAUAAGUUUAGAGAUGACUUUAUUGGUAAAUUUUCUCAAGCUGAUUGGUCUAAAUUCAGAUAGUUUGUUAGGAUGUGGCACUUUAGGGAGAAAGAUUAGAUAUUUAUGAGUGAAAUAUUCAAGUAAAUCCUGACCACAAAAGAAAGCAAGAACCAUUUAGAACAGAUCCAUACCAAUAAUAUGCCAGCAGGAUUGGAAAAAUUUACCAUUCAUACCAUCAGGGCCUGCUGUUGAAUGGUUACUCAUUGAGAAAACCGCAACCUUUACUUUCUCCAUAAUAGGGAUAGCCUAAGUUUCUCAUUCUGAUCAUCUGUUAUCAAUUUAAGAAUAUUAAUAAGCAUUUCCUCAGGCACAAACUCUGUUGCUCUUAUAAAGAUAUCCUGAAAAUAUUAAACUACAGCUGCAGCUAUAUCAGUAUCCCUUUGAAUCUAAGCCCCUUCCUCAGUCUUGAUUUUAUGUAUAAACAUUUUUUCUUUUCUACCUCUGAUAAAGGCAUAAAAAUAACUGGAGUUGGCAUCACCAUACUUGAACCAAUGCAGCUGAGAUUUCUAUCUUAAAAUAACAUCCUCCACUUUGAGGUGUCUAAUAUACUCAGCUUGUAUUUUGUGAAAUUCCAAUCUGUUUUCAUCAUCACCAUUCAGGAUUAAGAUUUCUUCAGCAACCUUGACCUUUUCAUCAUAACUUUUCACAUUGGCAUAUAUGUCACCAAAAACCUUUUUAGACCACUUACUUAGAGUAGAAGUUAGUUUUUUCAUUUUUAGGUGAAAUCUCCACAUAGGUGUUCCCUCAUAGGGUGAUUGCUAGAAAGUUUCCACAGUGGUAAGAAAUGUGGGGUACUCCACCCAACAGUACAAGAAUUUGAAAUAUUUAGUCUGUGCUUCCACCCUUUUAUGUAUUUCUAACAGCAAAGGGCAAUGAUCAGAUCCCACAGAAGACAAGUGAGUAAUGUUAGUCAUUGGCAUAUCUCUCAACUAAUCAUCUGAUACCAUAGCUCUGUCCAAUCUUUUUUAUAUUCUAAAUUAAAUAUAUCAUAGAUUGGACUGAGUAAACUUAGGACCAUUGAAACCCAAGUCAGACAAGUCACAAGCCUCAAUCACCCCUAAGAAGUCAAAGCUCUUCCUCAUAUCAUAUGGGAUGCCUUCCAUUUUUCACUAAAUUCAAUAUUCACAUUGAAAUCUCCAAUAGUGCACCAAGGUAAAGUUGUUGUAAACAUUUGAACCAGCUUAGUCUACAAAGGUCUUCUAAGUGUAUCUCUGCACUUAGCAUAAACAAAAGUCAUUAGAUAGGAUUGAUGCAAAGCAGAAUGCGUAAUAGAGCAUGUAAUCUGCUGAUCAUCAAUAGUAAUGAUGUCACAAGAGAUAUUCAUGGACCAAAAGAUCCAAAUUUUGUCAUUAGAGUUGCACAGGGCAUGCUCCAUCUUAAGAUUUCUUUUGGCAGUUUCCAGAUGAAUAUUAUUGGAGAAAGGUUCCAGGAUUGCAAUCAGAGAGAUAUGGUGAAUAUUUGUGAGUUGUUAAAGUUUUUCCAGAACACCUUGGGUAAAUAUACCCCUUGUAUUCCAAACAUGAUGACUGAUCAAUUGAUUAUUUUAUGGGAAAGAGAUCGGUAAGAGGUCUAGUUGUGUGCCCAUUCAAGUUAGCUACAGUAUGCUUGGUUCUUUUCCUUGAAUUUCUUAAAGAUCCCCUGGGAAAUAGUCCAUGUUGGUUGGCCAAGUGAGUCGCUUCUUUUGCAGAUUUCUCUUGAUUACCGGGGUCAAAUACAUCAUACACAAUUUCUUUAGUCUUCUCUAAAUGACUCAAGUUGAUUUCAUCAGUCUCGUCUUUAGAGUUUAUUACUCUAUACUCAUUAUCAAGAUCCUUGAGAAACCUCUGGGGUUCUCUUUCUUUGGCAUUAGAUUGCUCUAUCACCUGUUCAAAGUUAUGGGUGGCCUCAUGUAACAAAGCGGAAGCAUAACCCCUAAUUUCCAUUUCCUAAGCAGGCAACUAAUCUUGUAUCUGUUCAAAGAUCAUAUUCUUAGGGUUUGAUACCCCUACAGGAUUCACACCUCAUCGGGCAAUGCACUGUCUUAAGAUCUAUCCAGCUGGUUCUCCUUAUUAAAAUUAGGUAUUGGACCGCAUAGCAGUUUGUAGAUAUGUCUUACUGGUUGGACGCUGUGGAGAUCGAGGUAGUGACGGAUGGACUUCAAGCUUACCCGAAUCUCUUUCUUAUUAUCUUGUGGUUACUUUCACAUACAAGAUAUCUUAGUAUACUUUUUAUAAAUCUAUAUUAAUGGCUUGUAUUAGUAAAAAUCAGAUCCGGGGAUGUAGCAUUAAUAUUAUUUCUUCGUUAUUUAUAUUUUUGGAU